GGUGGGGUUUUUGUUGUUUACUCUUUAGUUUUCUAUGUUGUGUUAUGUGUACUAUUGUUUGUCUGUUUGUCUUUUUCAUUUUUAGCCAUGGCGUUGUCAGUUUAUUUUAGAUUUAUGAGUUUGACUGUCCCUUUGAUAUCUUUCGUUCCUCUUUUUCAUUUCUUUUCGUGAGCAGCUCUACACUUCAUGUAUAUUCUGUACAUAAAUAGUUCAUAC
This 216-nucleotide long non-coding RNA is filed under the name Mytilus galloprovincialis (Mediterranean mussel). The record is from RNAcentral. Lineage: Eukaryota; Metazoa; Mollusca; Bivalvia; Mytilida; Mytilidae.